This 1367-nucleotide ribosomal RNA is filed under the name uncultured bacterium. Its description in RNAcentral is "16S ribosomal RNA". It matches the Rfam family "Bacterial small subunit ribosomal RNA". The record is from RNAcentral.
GUUUGAUCAUGGCUCAGGAUCAACGCUGGCGGCGUGCCUAAUGCAUGCAAGUCGAACGGGGUGGCCUUCGGGCCGCUUACGUGGCGGACGGGUGAGGAACACGUGGGCAACCUGCCCAAUGGUGGGGGAUAACCGCUGGAAACAGUGGGUAAUACCGCAUGAGCUCUUUGACCGAGUGGGGUUGAAGAGGAAAGCCUUCGGGCGCCGAUGGAGGGGCCUGCGUCCGAUUAGCUAGACGGUGGGGUAACGGCCUACCGUGGCGAUGAUCGGUAGCUGGUUUGAGAGGAUGAUCAGCCACACGGGGACUGAGACACGGCCCCGACUCCUACGGGAGGCAGCAGCAAGGAAUUUUCCGCAAUGGGCGCAAGCCUGACGGAGCAACGCCGCGUGUGGGAUGACGCUUUUCGGAGUGUAAACCACUGUUCAUGGGGACGAAGCACUGACGGUACCCAUGGAGGAAGGCCCGGCUAACUACGUGCCAGCAGCCGCGGUAAUACGUAGGGGUCGAGCGUUGUCCGGAGUUACUGGGCGUAAAGCGCAUGCAGGCGGCUCAUUACGCAUGGCGUGAAAGCCCCCGGCUCAACCGGGGAGGGUCGUCGUGAACGGGUGAGCUUGAGGGUAUCAGGGGCUGGUGGAAUUCCCGGUGUAGUGGUGAAAUGCGUAGAGAUCGGGAGGAACACCUGUGGCGAAGGCGGCCAGCUGGGAUACACCUGACGCUGAGAUGCGAAGGCGUGGGGAGCGAACGGGAUUAGAUACCCCGGUAGUCCACGCAGUAAACGAUGCAGACUAGGCGUGGGAAGACUUGACCCCUUCCGUGCCGGGAGCUACGCGAUAAGUCUGCCGCCUGGGGAGUACGGUCGCAAGACUAAUACUCAAAGGAAUUGACGAGCGCCCGCACAAGUUGCGGAGUUUGUUCUUUAAUUAGUCGCAUCGCGAAGAUCCUUCACAGGGUUUCACAUAUCACUGCAUGCUCUACAUAUAAAGAUGCCUUCGAGGUUGCGAUACAGGUUCUUCAUGUCUGUUGUCAACUCGUGUCGUGAAAUGUUGCAUUAAGUCCCGCAAUGAGCGCAACUCCUGUGGUCAGUUUCGAUCUUUUGACCAGACUGCCGGAAGCUAACCGGAGAAAGAUGUGGAUAAUGUCACGUCAGCAUGGCCCUUACAUCGUGGGCGAGAAACACGCUACAAUAUCCGGGACACAGUGUACCCAAGCGGUACCGCGGAGACAUUUCCAGAAACCCGGUUUCAAUUUGAAUCGACGUCUGCAACUCGCCCUCGUGAAGGUGGAGUCGCUUAGUAAAUCGCAGGAUCAGCAAGUACCUGCGGUGAAUAUGUUCCCGGGCCUUGUACACACCGCCCGUCACGUCAUG